Molecule: non-coding RNA, 478 nt
Organism: Misgurnus anguillicaudatus (oriental weatherfish)
Lineage: Eukaryota; Metazoa; Chordata; Actinopteri; Cypriniformes; Cobitidae
Source: RefSeq, a predicted model, not a curated record
CUCAUUAUCUCUAAUGCGGUCACGCCCACACGCUGUUGACAUGGUAAUGAAGAGACGAGCUGUUCAAACCAGCAGAGCAAAGCGUAAUGUUUGAUAAGAUUUAAAGACUUUAGCGCAUGUUUGGAUUAUAAACUUUAUACACACACGUGAGGAAUAUCUUCAUUUAUGUCUGGACAUUGAGGAAGAGAAGCGUUUAUCUUUAACGUUACCUAAGAAGAAGAACAAUGGAAGACGCAAUGGAGGCGGAUAUAUUCCUGAAGAAACUGUCUGCAUCCCUCUCAUCAGUAAACUAUGAAGUGGAAAAACAUAUUCACACUCUUUGGACAUAAAGUUGUAUGGUAACAUGAGCCACAUGAAGUUUACAGCUCUGUUGUUUAUCAGUUUCUUAUACAAGUUAAGUUUUUGAAUAGGGUCCUACUGACCUUCAUUUCUAUUUUGAUUAUAUUGUUAACUUCUUAAUAAACCUCAAACAAACAUG